AUUCGAUGCAACGCGAAGAACCUUACCAAGGCUUGACAUGUGCCGGGAGGGCGCGGAGACGCGUCUGCCUUCGGGCCGGUUCACAGGUGGUGCAUGGUUGUCGUCAGCUCGUGUCGUGAGAUGUUGGGUUAAGUCCCGCAACGAGCGCAACCCUUGUCCCGUGUUGCCAGCGCGUUGUGGCGGGGACUCACGGGGGACUGCCGGGGUCAACUCGGAGGAAGGUGGGGACGACGUCAAAUCAUCAUGCCCCUUAUGCCUUGGGCUUCACGCAUGCUACAAUGGCCGGUACAGAGGGUGGCGAUGCCGUGAGGCGGAGCGAAUCUCGUAAAGCCGGUCUCAGUUCGGAUCGGGGUCUGCAACUCGGGCCCGUGAAGUCGGAGUCGCUAGUAAUCGCAGAUCAGCAACGCUGCGGUGAAUACGUUCCCGGGCCUAGUACAC
This 438-nucleotide ribosomal RNA is filed under the name uncultured bacterium. Its description in RNAcentral is "bacterial SSU rRNA". It matches the Rfam family "Bacterial small subunit ribosomal RNA", at positions 949 to 1388 of the family's 1533-position model. The record is from RNAcentral.